Molecule: ribosomal RNA, 477 nt
Filed under: uncultured bacterium
Lineage: Bacteria
Description: partial 16S ribosomal RNA
Rfam family: Bacterial small subunit ribosomal RNA
Source: RNAcentral
GAUUAACGCUGGCGGCGUGCAUAACACAUGCAAGUCGAACGAUGAAACUUAGUCGACUUCUUCGGAAAGACACUAAGCGGAUUAGUGGCGAACGGGUGAGUAACGCGUGAGUAACCUGCCUUACACAAGGGGAUAGCCUUUGGAAACGAAGAAUAAUACCCUAUAAAACCAUAAAAGCACAUGCUAGAAUGGUCAAAGUGAUAGCGGUGUAAGAUGGACUUGCGUCUGAUUAGCUAGUUGGUGAGAUAAAAGCUCACCAAGGCAACGAUCAGUAGCCGGCUGGAGGGAGUGUACGGCACACUUGGAACUGGGCAACGCCCCAGCCCCCUACGGGAGGAGGAAGGGGGGAAUUUUGAACAAUGGGGGAAGCCUUAAUGCGGCGAGGCGGCGUGAUUAUGAAGGCCUUAGGGUUGUAAAGCUCUUUUGUAUAGGAAGAAAAUGACAGUACUAUACGAAUAAGGUCCGGCUAAUUACGUG